Molecule: long non-coding RNA, 397 nt
Filed under: Vigna radiata
Lineage: Eukaryota; Viridiplantae; Streptophyta; Magnoliopsida; Fabales; Fabaceae
Description: long non-coding RNA (VRAD_LNC013913)
Source: RNAcentral
UACAGAUCAAGGACAAGUGCAAUAGAAGUGGGAAAGGGAGAGAAGGAGAAAAAGGAAACUCCCCUGAUCAUGGUGGCAGUUGCCAAUUUUGGACUUUCAGGGAGAUCUCUUCCACCACCGGAUUCAGCAAGGAAGUCUUGAGGAAGAAUUGCUUCAUCCUCCAAAUUUGAUCGAGCAGGGAGAUGUCCUCCACAGUUGGAUCUAAGAAGCAGUGGUUGUUGAUGAGCAGGUUCAGCUGGUGCCUAUUAAUCUUCAAACUAUCGACACCUUUGUCUUCCACCAUGGGUGUGUGUUUGUCAAAUUCAUAUGUACCUCCUGCAACACGGUUAGUGCAAUGUGGUUCCACAGAAAUAACAUGCAGAGGUAUAACACCCAAUAUCAAUGUAAGAGGCUGAAC